RNAcentral lists this ribosomal RNA (441 nucleotides) under uncultured bacterium. RNAcentral's name for it is "partial 16S ribosomal RNA". It matches the Rfam family "Bacterial small subunit ribosomal RNA", at positions 338 to 795 of the family's 1533-position model. The record is from RNAcentral.
CCUACGGGGUGCAGCAGUGGGGAAUAUUGCACAAUGGGGGGAACCCUGAUGCAGCGACGCCGCGUGGGUGAAGGAGUAUUUCGGUAUGUAAAGCCCUAUCAGCAGGGAAGAACAAUGACGGUACCUGACUAAGAAGCACCGGCUAAAUACGUGCCAGCAGCCGCGGUAAUACGUAUGGUGCAAGCGUUAUCCGGAUGUACUGGGGGUAAAGGGAGCGCAGGCGGCGCGUUAAGCCUGGUGUGAAAGCCCGCGGCCCAACGGCGGUACUGCAUUGGAAACUGGCGCGCGGGAGUGCCGGAGGGGUGAGCGGAAUUCCUAGUGUAGCGGUGAAAUGAGUAGAUAUGAGGAGGAACACCAGUGGCGAAGGCGGCCAACUGGACGGUGACUGACGCUGAGGCUCGAAAGCGUGGGGAGCAAACAGGAUUAGAUACCCGAGUAGUC